RNAcentral lists this ribosomal RNA (273 nucleotides) under uncultured bacterium. RNAcentral describes it as "partial 16S ribosomal RNA". It matches the Rfam family "Bacterial small subunit ribosomal RNA", at positions 524 to 796 of the family's 1533-position model. The record is from RNAcentral.
UACGAAGGGUGCAAGCGUUAGUCGGAAUUACUGGGCGUAAAGCGUGCGUAGGCGGUUUUCUAAGUCUGCCGUGAAAGCCCCGGGCUCAACCUGGGAAUGGCGGUGGAUACUGGAAAGCUGGAGUGCGGUAGAGGAGGGUGGAAUUCCCGGUGUAGCGGUGAAAUGCGUAGAGAUCGGGAGGAACAUCAGUGGCGAAGGCGGCCCUCUGGACCAGCACUGACGCUGAGGCACGAAAGCGUGGGGAGCAAACAGGAUUAGAAACCCCCGUAGUCC